UACGAGUGCCUCAAGCGUUAUCCGGAAUCAUUGGGCGUAAAGGGUGCGUAGGCGGUCGGGUAAGUCUGAUGUGAAAUCUCACAGCUUAACUGUGAAACUGCAUUGGAUACUAUCCGGCUCGAGGAAUGGAGGGGAGACUGGAAUACUUGGUGUAGCAGUGAAAUGCGUAGAUAUCAAGUGGAACACCAGUGGCGAAGGCGAGUCUCUGGACAUUUCCUGACGCUGAGGCACGAAAGCCAGGGGAGCAAACGGG
Molecule: ribosomal RNA, 253 nt
Filed under: uncultured bacterium
Lineage: Bacteria
Description: partial 16S ribosomal RNA
Rfam family: Bacterial small subunit ribosomal RNA
Source: RNAcentral